Leucoraja erinaceus (little skate) is the source of this 879-nucleotide long non-coding RNA. RefSeq lists it as uncharacterized. The transcript is spliced from 2 exons. The record is from RefSeq and is a predicted model, not a curated record. Lineage: Eukaryota; Metazoa; Chordata; Chondrichthyes; Rajiformes; Rajidae.
AUUCGUCUUCCGUGCUGACGGUCGAUGCAGCUCGCGGUUUAUCAGAAACAUAGCGUGGAAACAAGCCCUUCUGCCACCGAGUCCACCCAGCCAGUGAUCACCUCGUACACUAGCACUAUCCUUCCUACACACAAGCAACAUCUAAAAUUUGAUCAAAGCUAAUUAAUAUACACAUCUUUACACCUUUGGGAUGUAGGAGGAAAUUGGAGCGCCUGGAGAAAUCCCACGCAGUCACAGGGCGAACGUGCAAACUCAAUACAGACAGCACCUGCAGUUGGGAUCGAACCCGGGUCUCUGGCGCUGUAAGGUAGCAACUCUACCACUCCGCCACUGUGCUGUCCCCGACUCUGCACCAGACCGCAUGAAAUUGCAGAGUUUUAGAUGUUGCCUAGUCCAUCACACAGACCUGACUUUCCACCGUUGACUCCAUCCACUCAUCACACUGCCUUGGAAAAGCUGCUAACAUAAUCAAAGACUUGUCUCUCUCUAGGGUGGGAGAUUGAAACUUCACGUGGUCCGCCCUGUUUCGACGAAUGCAAUCAACCUGGCGUGCAGAAUCAAAUAAGAUCAAAUAGAACGAGUUGUCCAACUUUAGGUUGUGUACGCUAUAUGUAACAAGAAGAAGUCCCUCUCUGUCAUUCCUCCUUUUUCUUGCUCAAACUGGUAGGAAUUAUAGAAGCUUGAAAGCAUGCACUACCAGACUCAGGCACAGCGUCCCAUCUGUGAUUAGUCUUCUGAACAAUCCUGUCAUUUGAUUCACCUCUGCCACUGUGUUAUACACCAAACAUUUUGUUUUUGUUUAUUAUUGUGUUUACUACUGCAAGUAAGAAUUUCAUUGUUCCAUUUUGGGACAUAUGACAAUAAAACACUUGACCUCAU